Schistosoma mansoni is the source of this 46-nucleotide non-coding RNA. The record is from Rfam. Lineage: Eukaryota; Metazoa; Platyhelminthes; Trematoda; Strigeidida; Schistosomatidae.
ACACUGCUGAGGAGUCCCAUAAUAGGGCGAAACAACUGUCCAGUGC